This is a long non-coding RNA of Oncorhynchus mykiss (rainbow trout), 409 nucleotides long. RefSeq lists it as uncharacterized. Lineage: Eukaryota; Metazoa; Chordata; Actinopteri; Salmoniformes; Salmonidae. The record is from RefSeq and is a predicted model, not a curated record.
UAAAAACGACGUAGCUAACAUGCAACGCUUUCCAUUCUAUUGCUGGCGUGCUGGGAAUUGGAAUUUAACACCCUGUCAAUAUGCUGUUAUGUCAUGUCUGACAUUAUGCUUCCACAACAGAGACAACUUCACAUGUAGGGGACGUCAACAGUUCGGGGGGAGAGAGAGAGAAAUGGAGGACAUUAACUAACCUGGAAGGCCAUGGAGUUGGCGGCUGCGAGGAAGACUCUGAGAGGAAGCUUGGCCCUGUAGGAGCGGUGGCUCCACAGCCGAUGGGCCCCUGCUGUCACCCCCAGGGCUGUCACGAUGAAACACACGUAGGCUGCAACAACACACCAGAAGAGACGACAGUCAUUUUUUUUUAAAAUGAAUAAACAUAUAGGUGAAUACCCUCCUGUUACACACCUGA